AUGAGCAGUUCAGCAGGCACUCAAGGGAGCGAGCAUUCCAGCAACACGUGUGACAGGGAAGUCGAGAGAGAGCCAGGCCUGUCUGGGACCCGUGAAGCAACUCAUAAACAUCAGAGCAGAAGGGUCAGGCCCUCCCUCAUGAAGCUUAUUGCCCCGUUAAGUGGAGGGGGCUUCAAAACAAGGCUUCAAGCAAGGUUGAGGCAGACAGGCUGCAAAGAAGCUGCUGCUAAUGGCAAUGGGACCAGGAAAGGGGAAUCCAAAGAAGGCAGCACCAUCCUUCAACCUCAGAGGCUUGUGUGGGAGAAACCCCAGUUAGGUGUGAGGGAAAAUCCUGCUGCGAGGGGUGGGUAGGGCUUGACUCAGAUUGCAGCAGGGGAGGAAACUUUAGUGACACCCCUCUGUGCAAAGCAGCGAUUCUAGAUGCUGCCAAAGCAAUAUUAUGCCACCCAGGAGGUGGUUUGAAAUGGCUGGGGAAAGUCGUCUGGGAGACAGCUUCAUGGCACACUGCUUGUUCUGGAGUGGUUGGGAAGAAUGCGGCCAGGUGGUCCUAAGUCCCGGGGACCACAGAGGCCAAAUCCGUACCACCAGCCCUGAGCAGGUACCACAUGCUUCAGCAUCACUCCUCUCCAGCUUCACCCCUACCAGCGAGCCCCAGGGACCAGGAGGCUCCAGUCCUGUCCCACCUGUGUGUGUGUAUAAGCAUGCAGAGGCCUCCACUCAGAACUUCAACUCCCUCUUCCCACCACCAUGAGGUCCAUAAACAUCUCCCUGCACCAGGAAAUUAUGUUGGCUAGGAGAAGGGGAAGGGAUGAGAAAAUCUUGGAAAACUCAGCAAUUUUAUACAAAAGAGACCGAGCUAAAUGUUUGGAAAUGGAGAUAUGUCUAAGGAGCAAUUUAAAGGGUUUUUUUUUUUUUUUGCUUCUUCUUUUCUUUUUUCCCCUGUAUGUCAAUAGUAGGAAUGAUCAGAUCAAGAUGAAAAGAGUACGAGAAAAAUGAAGAAGGAUUCUGGUUUGUCCCAUCUGGGUAGGUACAUGUGACUCAGCUCUGCAAUAAUCAUGUCUGUACACGUUUGCUGGGGCACCUGUGUACUUUCAAUUCUAGUCAUCAGCCCUUUCCUUGACUCUCACUGUGUGCUUUCUUGUGGCCAGGAGUUGAGAAUAAUAAAAUUGUCAAAUCUGUAUUAAUUAUCUAUCGCUCUAUAAUAAAUUAGUCCAAAAUUUAGCUGAAAUUCAUGCUUCCUGGGGAUUAGAAACUUGGAGGCAGUUUAGCAGGGGGUUUCUGGCUCAGGAUCUCUCAUUAAGUUACAGUCAGGAUGCUGGCCUAGACUGUGGUCAUCUGAAGGCUUGACUGGGGCUGGAGGACAUGAUUCUAAGAUCCGCCUGACAAGCUGGUGCUGGCUGUGGGCAGAGGCUCUCAGUUCUUCACCUCAUGGAUCCCUUUCUAGGGCUGCUUGGAUAUCCUCAUGACAUGAUGGUGGUUUCAUCCAGAGUAAGUCACCUGAAAGAACAAUGUCUUUUUAUGACAGCCUUGCCUUAGAAGUCUCACUUUCCCAUGUG
Molecule: long non-coding RNA, 1556 nt
Filed under: Cervus hanglu yarkandensis (Yarkand deer)
Lineage: Eukaryota; Metazoa; Chordata; Mammalia; Artiodactyla; Cervidae
Description: lncRNA (ENSCHYG00000013268.1)
Source: RNAcentral